This 700-nucleotide ribosomal RNA is filed under the name uncultured bacterium. RNAcentral describes it as "bacterial SSU rRNA". It matches the Rfam family "Bacterial small subunit ribosomal RNA", at positions 56 to 739 of the family's 1533-position model. The record is from RNAcentral.
UGCAAGUAGAACGCUGAAGCUUGGUGCUUGCACCGAGCGGAUGAGUUGCGAACGGGUGAGUAACGCGUAGGUAACCUGCCUGGUAGCGGGGGAUAACUAUUGGAAACGAUAGCUAAUACCGCAUAACAACAGUUGUUGCAUGACAGCUGUUUGAAAGGGGCAAUUGCUCCACUACCAGAUGGACCUGCGUUGUAUUAGCUAGUUGGUGAGGUAACGGCUCACCAAGGCGACGAUACAUAGCCGACCUGAGAGGGUGAUCGGCCACACUGGGACUGAGACACGGCCCAGACUCCUACGGGAGGCAGCAGUAGGGAAUCUUCGGCAAUGGGGGGAACCCUGACCGAGCAACGCCGCGUGAGUGAAGAAGGUUUUCGGAUCGUAAAGCUCUGUUGUAAGAGAAGAACGAGUGUGAGAGUGGAAAGUUCACACUGUGACGGUAUCUUACCAGAAAGGGACGGCUAACUACGUGCCAGCAGCCGCGGUAAUACGUAGGUCCCGAGCGUUAUCCGGAUUUAUUGGGCGUAAAGCGAGCGCAGGCGGUUAGAUAAGUCUGAAGUUAAAGGCUGUGGCUUAACCAUAGUACGCUUUGGAAACUGUUUAACUUGAGUGCAGAAGGGGAGAGUGGAAUUCCAUGUGUAGCGGUGAAAUGCGUAGAUAUAUGGAGGAACACCGGUGGCGAAAGCGGCUCUCUGGUCUGUAA